Molecule: long non-coding RNA, 664 nt
Organism: Lycium barbarum (goji berry)
Lineage: Eukaryota; Viridiplantae; Streptophyta; Magnoliopsida; Solanales; Solanaceae
Exons: 2
Source: RefSeq, a predicted model, not a curated record
UAUGUAAGUGGACACUUACUUUUGAACCAAAAUAAAAAUUGAAUAAUUAACCCAAUUAACAGUCCAUUAUAGCAAUAAACUUAAAAUAACCCUGUUCUUUUUUACUUACAAGUAAUAGCCUGUCAGGUCUCUUUCAUUUAAUUUAUCAUCCCAAAACUAACACCCCUUUUUGGCUCCCUUUUCACCUCUCCAACAGCUCCAUGGCAGCCAACAAACAAGUAAAAACUAACACCAUUUCACCUCUCUCUCUCUCUCUAUUCAUGGUAUAAUGGCGGUUGUAUGGUGUUUUGUAAGCCCAUCUCAUAGGAAAAUGAGACUUUCAAAUCUUGAAUCGAAAUAAAAAAGCUUUCAGUACUGUGAUUGAGGUGUAAUGGCUGUUGAUUUCAUUUUCGGAACGAGUGGAUCUCGAGACGCUGCCGACCACUGUGAUGGUCAUCUGGACGAUUUAGGAUGAGCCAUCAGUUGAUCCACGACACCAGAUCUUCUUCAAUUAUCUUUAUUGAUGUGUACUUUUCGGAUGUAUGCCUAGACCUAUACUUCAUUUAGUAGUUCUUGUACUAGUGACACCAGAUUCGGAGAUGGUUGUACCUCUAUUAUUCUGUUUUAUGAAAAUAAGGACAACUAGUAUUUGAAAUAAUUUGAAUGAUUUCUUUUUCUGCUUUAA